AUGGCGCUCUCCAGUCUGCUCUGGGUGUUCCUGGCCUUCACCUUCUCUAGUAGGGAUGCUCCCAAACCAGGAUCUGGUGUGGCCCAGGAAGUUACUCAAGACCAGCCAGCCAUAAUCAGUCAAGUGGGGAAGGUAGUCACCCUUAACUGUCAAUAUGAAACCAGUAAGAAUGUGCAUGACUACAGCAUUUUUUGGUACAAGCAGCUUCCCAGUGGACAGAUGACUUACCUCAUUCGUCAGUAUUCAGAAGACGAGAAUGAAAGGGAUGGCCGUUAUUCUGUAAACUUCCAAAAAGCACAUAAAUCCAUCAGCCUCACCAUUUCAUUCUUAAAACUGGAACAUUCUGCAAAGUAUUUCUGUGCUCUCUGGGAACUCACAGUGUUUGAAGUAAUAGGAAAAGCUGAACAAAAACCCCAGAACUUAAUAAGAGAGAGUCCCGCUGCUGCAGGACCCCAGCUGAAAUGCACAGCAGACCUCAGACAAGAAAUGAUAUUCUUGUGGUUGCUUAAUCUGUGA
This is a non-coding RNA of Dama dama (fallow deer), 516 nucleotides long. The record is from the annotation of a RefSeq genome assembly. Lineage: Eukaryota; Metazoa; Chordata; Mammalia; Artiodactyla; Cervidae.